CAAAACCCCAUGAUAUGAGGAGCACACCAAUCUGCAUCUACUGAGCACAUGCUACUUUAACAAAGAGCAAGAUAACAUUUUCCCUCAGAAAAAAGUGCUGAUAUCAUAUCUGACCUUUCCAGAGAAAGCAGGUGAAAACAUCCCUGCUUUAAAGAAUAGGCAACAAAACCACAGAAUUUAGAGUCUUUACUAUUUGCCUGAAAGACAAACCGGAAGACCAAUCUCCUGACUGGUCUGGCACUCUGCUGCUUCCUUGUCAACAGUGAAGCAAGAAAACCCAUGCAAGCCCAAGAUGCAAUGGGUCAAGGGCUGGUUCUUUCUCCUUGUGAUUUUGGUAAUCUCUGUUUUCUUUCCUCUCUCCCCUUUUAUACAUACAGUAUUUUCUCUUCAGUGUUUAGGUAUAGACUUUGGAUUCAACAA
Long non-coding RNA from Homo sapiens (human), 420 nucleotides. RefSeq lists it as uncharacterized. The transcript has 3 exons. The record is from RefSeq and is a predicted model, not a curated record. NCBI's taxonomy places the organism in Eukaryota, Metazoa, Chordata, Mammalia, Primates, Hominidae.